Molecule: ribosomal RNA, 254 nt
Filed under: uncultured bacterium
Lineage: Bacteria
Description: partial 16S ribosomal RNA
Rfam family: Bacterial small subunit ribosomal RNA
Source: RNAcentral
UACGUAGGGUGCGAGCGUUGUCCGGAAUUAUUGGGCGUAAAGAGCUCGUAGGCGGUCUGUCGCGUCGGUCGUGAAAACUUGGGGCUUAACCCUGAGCUUGCGGUCGAUACGGGCAUGACUGGAGUUCGGUAGGGGAGACUGGAAUUCCUGGUGUAGCGGUGAAAUGCGCAGAUAUCAGGAGGAACACCGGUGGCGAAGGCAGCUUGCUACAGGGAUAUUGACACUGAGGCACGAAAGCGUGGGGAUCAAACAGG